RNAcentral lists this ribosomal RNA (497 nucleotides) under uncultured bacterium. RNAcentral's name for it is "partial 16S ribosomal RNA". It matches the Rfam family "Bacterial small subunit ribosomal RNA", at positions 28 to 507 of the family's 1533-position model. The record is from RNAcentral.
GAUGAACGCUGGCGGCGUGCCUAAUACAUGCAAGUCGAACGAACCGACGCUGAGUUUGUUCCUCUGGCCAUAGCGAGUGGCGGACGGGUAACUAAUGGAUAACUUACCUAUCUCACUGGGAUAAAUAAGGGACGGCGGCGCUAACUCAUGCUACUAUAUUGAUCCGCACGGUUGGAUCUUUAAAGACGGUUUUCGUGUGCUUUCUCGAUGGAACCGCGCCGCAUUAGCUAGUUGGUAAGGUAGCGGCUUAGCAAGGCAACGAUGCGUAGCCGACCUGAGAGGGUGAUCGGCCACACUGGAACUGAGACACGGUCCAGACUCCUACGGGAGGCAGCAGUAGGGAAUCUUCCGCAAUGGGCGAAAGCCUGACGGAGCAACGCCGCGUGAGUGAUGAAGGUCUUCGGAUCGUAAAGCUCUGUUAUUAGGGAAGAACAAAUGUGUAAGUAACUAUGCACGGCGUGACGGUACCUAAUCAGAAAGCCACGGCUAACUACGUG